CCUACGGGGGGCAGCAGUCGGGAAUUUUGGGCAAUGGGCGAAAGCCUGACCCAGCAACGCCGCGUGAAGGAUGAAGUAUUUCGGUAUGUAAACUUCGAAAGAAUAGGAAGAAUAAAUGACGGUACUAUUUAUAAGGUCCGGCUAACUACGUGCCAGCAGCCGCGGUAAUACGUAGGGACCAAGCGUUGUUCGGAUUUACUGGGCGUAAAGGGCGCGUAGGCGGCUUUGUAAGUCACUUGUGAAAUCUCUGAGCUUAACUCAGAACGGCCAAGUGAUACUGCAAUGCUAGAGUGCAGAAGGGGCAAUCGGAAUUCUUGGUGUAGCGGUGAAAUGCGUAGAUAUCAAGAGGAACACCUGAGGUGAAGACGGGUUGCUGGGCUGACACUGACGCUGAGGCGCGAAAGCCAGGGGAGCAAACGGGGAUUAGAUACCCCGGUAGUCCUGGCCCUAAACGAUGAAUACUUGGUGUCUGGAGUAAUUUGUGCUCCGGGUGCCGUCGCUAACGUUUUUAGUAUUCCGCCUGGGGAUACGCUCGCAAGNGUGAAACUCAAAUGAAUUGACCGGCGUGAGACGUGCCGACGGACGACGACGAGGGAGGUAGG
This 602-nucleotide ribosomal RNA is filed under the name uncultured bacterium. RNAcentral describes it as "bacterial SSU rRNA". It matches the Rfam family "Bacterial small subunit ribosomal RNA", at positions 338 to 961 of the family's 1533-position model. The record is from RNAcentral.